RNAcentral lists this ribosomal RNA (253 nucleotides) under uncultured bacterium. RNAcentral's name for it is "partial 16S ribosomal RNA". It matches the Rfam family "Bacterial small subunit ribosomal RNA", at positions 524 to 776 of the family's 1533-position model. The record is from RNAcentral.
UACGUAGGUGGCAAGCGUUGUCCGGAUUUACUGGGCGUAAAGGGCGUGCAGGCGGUUUGUUAAGUCUAGGGUGAAAGCUCCCGGCUCAACUGGGAGAGGUCCUUGGAUACUGGCAGACUUGAGGAGAGUAGAGGAGAGUGGAAUUCCCGGUGUAGUGGUGAUAUGCGUAGAUAUCGGGAGGAACACCAGUGGCGAAGGCGGCUCUCUGGGCUCUACCUGACGCUGAGACGCGAAAGCGUGGGGAGCAAACAGG